CUGGGUGCCCAGUCAGGCCUCUGCCUGGGCGCAGGAGCCGCCGUCUCUCUGCCGGCCGUCUUGGGCUGGAAGCCUUUGCCUUAAGCUUUCCCUUAAGUAUAGAAUACGUAUUUUCCUAGAGUUUUAGAAAAAGAGUCCCUCCAGUUAUUCGAUAAAGUCUGUUUUCAGUUUAGCUAAAUAAUUCCUUUUCCAGAGCUUGUAUCUCCCUGUCGGCGUUUGUAGAUCGUGCUGUUUCUUGAGGAGGACGUGGCCACCUUCCCCGGAUAAAGUGAUUUCUUGGCAUUUGUGGUCCCUGUGAAAACUGGAAGGCAAGCAACUAAAAGAGAGAGUGACUGGAUAAAGAAAUUCAGUGUCAAAGGUGUCUAUAGCAUUAAGUUCUUUGAAUUUUCAGAGAACUCGAUCAAUGAAGAAACCAGAUUUAUUUGGGGUUUUCACAGAAGUUAAACCUAACAUCCUACUACUAACGUUGUGUGGCAAAGGAAGGCAACUGGCCCUUCAUUGGGGUCUGUCUCUGGUGACUUAUGUAGUCCAUUUGCUGAGGUCAUAUUUCCCUGAUCUUGAUGCUUUUGGAUAUUCAUCAGUGUCUGGGCAUUGAAGA
This is a long non-coding RNA of Lemur catta (Ring-tailed lemur), 598 nucleotides long. RefSeq lists it as uncharacterized. NCBI's taxonomy places the organism in Eukaryota, Metazoa, Chordata, Mammalia, Primates, Lemuridae. The transcript has 4 exons. The record is from RefSeq and is a predicted model, not a curated record.